GGGGCUGAUUCUGGAUUCGACGGGAUUCGCGAAACCCAAGGUGCAUGCCGAGGGGCGGUUGGCCUCGUAAAAAGCCGCAAAAAAAUAGUCGCAAACGACGAAAACUACGCUUUAGCAGCUUAAUAACCUGCUCUGAGCCCUCUCUCCCUAGCUUCCGCUCUUAAGACGGGGAUCAAAGAGAGGUCAAACCCAAAAGAGAUCGCGUGGAUGCCCUGCCUGGGGUUGAAGCGUUAAAUCUAAUCAGGCUAGUCUGGUAGUGGCGUGUCUGUCC
This 271-nucleotide transfer-messenger RNA is filed under the name Escherichia coli. RNAcentral's name for it is "partial transfer-messenger RNA". It matches the Rfam family "transfer-messenger RNA", at positions 1 to 276 of the family's 374-position model. Rfam says of the family: Bacterial tmRNA, also known as 10Sa RNA or SsrA, is named for its dual tRNA and mRNA-like properties. Its role is to liberate the mRNA from a stalled ribosome. To accomplish this part of the tmRNA is used as a reading frame that ends in a translation stop signal. The record is from RNAcentral. Lineage: Bacteria; Pseudomonadati; Pseudomonadota; Gammaproteobacteria; Enterobacterales; Enterobacteriaceae.